This 29-nucleotide non-coding RNA is filed under the name Mus musculus (house mouse). Lineage: Eukaryota; Metazoa; Chordata; Mammalia; Rodentia; Muridae. The record is from RNAcentral.
GCAGUGGAUAUUAUUGUCUUCUAGUUGUC